CGUUAUCCGGAAUUAUUGGGCAUAAAGGGCAUCUAGGCGGCCUAACAAGUCAGGGGUGAAAACCUGCGGCUCAACCGCAGGCUUGCCUUUGAAACUGUAAGGCUGGAGUAUCGGAGAGGUGGACGGAACUGCACGAGUAGAGGUGAAAUUCGUAGAUAUGUGCAGGAAUGCCGAUGAUGAAGAUAGUUCACUGGACGAUAACUGACGCUGAAGUGCGAAAGCCGGGGGAGCAAACAGGAUUAGAUACCCCCGUAGUCC
This 258-nucleotide ribosomal RNA is filed under the name Escherichia coli. Its description in RNAcentral is "partial 16S ribosomal RNA". It matches the Rfam family "Bacterial small subunit ribosomal RNA", at positions 539 to 796 of the family's 1533-position model. Lineage: Bacteria; Pseudomonadati; Pseudomonadota; Gammaproteobacteria; Enterobacterales; Enterobacteriaceae. The record is from RNAcentral.